ACUCCUACGGGAGGCAGCAGUGGGGAAUAUUGGACAAUGGGGGAAACCCUGAUCCAGCAAUGCCGCGUGUGUGAAGAAGGCCUUCGGUUGUAAAGCACUUUCAAUAGGGAGGAAAAGACUGUGCGUUAAUAGCGUACAGCCGUGACGUUACCUAUAGAAGAAGCACCGGCUAACUCCGUGCCAGCAGCCGCGGUAAUACGGAGGGUGCAAGCGUUAAUCGGAAUUACUGGGCGUAAAGCGCGCGUAGGCGGUUUGCUAAGUCAGAUGUGAAAUCCCCGGGCUCAACCUGGGAAUGGCAUUUGAGACUGGUAGGCUAGAAUGUGGUAGAGGUGAGUGGAAUUCCAGGUGUAGCGGUGAAAUGCGUAGAGAUCUGAAGGAAUACCGGUGGCGAAGGCGGCCCCCUGGACAGAUACUGACACUCAGAUGCGAAAAGCGUGGGGAGCAAAACAGGAUUAGAUACCCUGGUAGGAUAGCG
This 475-nucleotide ribosomal RNA is filed under the name uncultured bacterium. Its description in RNAcentral is "bacterial SSU rRNA". It matches the Rfam family "Bacterial small subunit ribosomal RNA", at positions 335 to 799 of the family's 1533-position model. The record is from RNAcentral.